AGUGAACGCUGGCGGCGUGCUUAACACAUGCAAGUCGCACGAGAAAGCUUCUGCUUGCAGAGGCGAGUAAAGUGGCGCACGGGUGAGUAACACGUGGGUAAUCUACCUCCGAAUUGGGGAUAACAACGCGAAAGCGAUGCUAAUACCGGAUAAUAUCGCGGGUGCCUCGGCACCUUCGAUCAAAGGUGGCCUCUUCUUGAAAGCCGCUGUUUGGAGAUGAGCCCGCGUCCCAUUAGCUAGUUGGUAGGGUAACGGCCUACCAAGGCUUCGAUGGGUAGCUGGUCUGAGAGGAUGAUCAGCCACACUGGAACUGACACACGGUCCAGACUCCUACGGGUGGCUG
This 343-nucleotide ribosomal RNA is filed under the name uncultured Pseudomonadota bacterium. Its description in RNAcentral is "bacterial SSU rRNA". It matches the Rfam family "Bacterial small subunit ribosomal RNA", at positions 29 to 351 of the family's 1533-position model. The record is from RNAcentral. Lineage: Bacteria; Pseudomonadati; Pseudomonadota.